This 818-nucleotide ribosomal RNA is filed under the name Amanita eucalypti. RNAcentral describes it as "LSU rRNA". It matches the Rfam family "Eukaryotic large subunit ribosomal RNA", at positions 97 to 896 of the family's 3401-position model. Lineage: Eukaryota; Fungi; Basidiomycota; Agaricomycetes; Agaricales; Amanitaceae. The record is from RNAcentral.
AGCGGGAAAAGCUCAAAUUUGAAAUCUGGCAGACUUUGUCUGUCCGAGUUGUAGCCUAGAGAAGUGUAACCUGUGCUGGACCAUGUACAAGUCUCCUGGAAUGGAGCAUCAUAGAGGGUGAGAAUCCCGUCUUUGACAUGGACUACCAGUACACUGUGGUUGCACACUCAACGAGUCGAGUUGUUUGGGAAUGCAGCUCUAAAUGGGUGGUAAAUUCCAUCUAAAGCUAAAUAUUGGCGAGAGACCGAUAGUGAACAAGUACCGUGAGGGAAAGAUGAAAAGAACUUUGGAAAGAGAGUUAAACAGUAUGUGAAAUUGUUGAAAGGGAAACGCUUGAAGUCAGCUGUGUUGGCUGGGGAUCAAGCCAGCUUAUUUGCUGGGUGUACUUCCUGGUUGACAGGUCAACAUCAGUUUUGACCAUCAGAGAAAGGCAAAGGGAAUGUGGCACCUUAUAGGUGUGUUAGAGCCCUUUGUUGUAUGUGGUGGUUGGGACUGAGGACAGCAGCGUGCCAUAUGGGCCGGGUUUCGACCACGUUCACGCUUUGGAUGUUGGCAUAAUGGCUUUAAGCGACCCGUCUUGAAACACGGACCAAGGAGUCUAACAUGCAUGCAAGUGUUUGGGUGGAAAACCCGAGCGCGUAAUGAAAGUGAAAGUUGAGAUCCCUGUCACAGGGGAGCAUCGACGCCCGGACCAGAACUUUUGGGAUGGAUCUGCGGUAGAGCAAGCAUGUUGGGACCCGAAAGAUGGUGAACUAUGCCUGAAUAGGGUGAAGCCAGAGGAAACUCUGGUGGAGGCUCGUAGCGAUUCUGACGUGCAA